This 292-nucleotide ribosomal RNA is filed under the name uncultured Desulfocapsa sp. RNAcentral describes it as "partial 16S ribosomal RNA". It matches the Rfam family "Bacterial small subunit ribosomal RNA", at positions 1089 to 1382 of the family's 1533-position model. The record is from RNAcentral. Lineage: Bacteria; Pseudomonadati; Thermodesulfobacteriota; Desulfobulbia; Desulfobulbales; Desulfocapsaceae.
GCAACGAGCGCAACCCUUGUCUUUAGUUGCCAUCAUUAAGUUGGGCACUCUAAAGAGACUGCCGGUGUCAAACCGGAGGAAGGUGGGGAUGACGUCAAGUCCUCAUGGCCUUUAUGACCAGGGCUACACACGUACUACAAUGGCAGGUACAAAGGGCAGCCACUUAGCGAUAAGGCGCGAAUCCCGUAAAACCUGUCUCAGUCCGGAUUGGAGUCUGCAACUCGACUCCAUGAAGUUGGAAUCGCUAGUAAUCGCAGAUCAGCACGCUGCGGUGAAUACGUUCCCGGGCCUU